GCCCGGCUAGCUCAAUCGGUAGAGCGUGAGACUCUUAAGUUUCCCGUUCCCCUUCGAACGAUUGCUCAGAAUAAUCUCAAGGUUGUGGGUUCGACCCCCACGUCGGGCU
Molecule: non-coding RNA, 109 nt
Organism: Delitschia confertaspora ATCC 74209
Lineage: Eukaryota; Fungi; Ascomycota; Dothideomycetes; Pleosporales; Delitschiaceae
Source: the annotation of a GenBank genome assembly